AGUACUGUCAGCCAAAUUGCUCAGCAGGUAGAAAGCCAAGACCUUGGGAAUAUGUUCUCAGGUUUGGGAAGUGGCCAAGGCAGUGGCAUUGAUCUUUCUAGGGUGGUCCAACAGAUGAUGCCAGUAGUUUCCCAGGUUCUCAGUCGUGGGUCAGCUGCUCAGCCAUUCUCUCCUGUAGAACCUGAAGCUCAGCAGCAGUAUAAUGAGAGGAGAUCAAGUGGAAAUGAAAAACCCAAUGAUCAAAAUGUUCAGAUCGACCUCCAGGAUGUGGCCCAGAGAAUUGGACAUUUCAAUGCACCUGGAGAUAUUUUCCGAGCUGUAGCUGAAAAUGCAGGGAGGUCGAAUGGGAAUGAAAGUGGAUCCCUAGAUAUUGUGCAGGAGUUGAGCAACAAUGCGGAUCUAGUCCAUGAUUACAUAGAGAUGCUACAGCGUGAUAUACAUCAGCUGCUUCAGAGUGACACUGGGGAGGAUGAGUCUUGAUUUCUCGGAGAGGCGGUUUCUUAUGAUUUCAAGCGUCCAGAAAUGGUUCGCCAGAGACUAUUAUCUCAGCCAGGCUUACCUUGAAAAUGAUUUCAGCUUGUACAAAUCGGUAUGGAGCUCUACGCUCCAUGUUAUAAGCCAACAUCGAUAUGAUUUUUCGGUUUAUUGUGAAUUAGUAUUUAUGAUAUAAAUUCAAUACUUUAAGUUUCCCGUUUCAAGGGAUUGGGGGCAAGUUCCCAGAAAGUUAACAAAUUCAACUUAUUUGGUUGAUGUUUUAUUGGGAAGUGACCUUCCGAAAAGUAAUUUUACCUCCAUGAAGAUACGUCGCUUCCUAAAAAGUGUAAAGAAAGAGCUUGACUCAAAUGAGAUCUUAGUAUUUCGUUUUGUUUCUUUUUAGUCAUCCAGGGGAUAAAUCCUAGGCGGCUUUGUACUAAUAGCAAUCCAAUUGAAUGAUGUAGUUAUCUGGCUUCGAACUAAUAGCAAUUAUCUUGCUUGGGUUGGUAAAAUUACU
Molecule: unclassified non-coding RNA, 991 nt
Filed under: Hevea brasiliensis (rubber tree)
Lineage: Eukaryota; Viridiplantae; Streptophyta; Magnoliopsida; Malpighiales; Euphorbiaceae
Source: RNAcentral